This is a long non-coding RNA of Saccoglossus kowalevskii, 717 nucleotides long. RefSeq lists it as uncharacterized. The record is from RefSeq and is a predicted model, not a curated record. Lineage: Eukaryota; Metazoa; Hemichordata; Enteropneusta; Harrimaniidae.
CAUGACUCAAAACAUGGCGGCGUACUGCUGCUCCUUUUGCGUGAGCUGGACCUUAUACAACUUAUUAACAACGCAGUUUUUCCGAUGAUGGAUCGUUGUCUAAAAUAACAAGUGAUAGCGAGGACCCAGCAUCUGUUAGUGUUAAUCCUACAGCUGAUCUGAAAGAAGAUCCUGAUUAAAACACAAUUUUGCUAACGUUGGACCAAGAGCAUUUGGGAACUCAUGGGAAUGACAGCCACUAGUUCAUCACCACAGACUGCCAAAAACACCAUUGCUACAGAAGGGAAGAUCAGUGACAUAACUUUCACUAUUGCACCGUCUCAACCUACAACAUCCACACAUAGCACUUACAGCAACAACACCUAUUGAAUUAGAACAUUCAACACUGUCCAUACCCAUGGAGAUUCCAACGGCUCUCAUGCCCACAUAACAACCUACAGCAUCUGUGCCCACAGAGCAACCUACAGCAUCAGUGCCCACAGAGCAACCUACAUCUGCAUCUAUGGAGCAGCUGACAACUUCAAUUUCUACAAAGCAACCAACAGCUUCCACACAAAGUAGAAAAUCAUCAAGAAAACCAAAGAAGUCUGCCAAGCUUCAGCAAAUAGAGAGAGAAGGUUAACAACGCAGACUUGUGCGAAAGCUUACGGAACUUAAAAGAAGUGGUGACAUAGAUGACUAUAUCAGUACAUACAGGCCAAGAAAAAAAAGCAAGAC